Molecule: ribosomal RNA, 253 nt
Filed under: uncultured bacterium
Lineage: Bacteria
Description: partial 16S ribosomal RNA
Rfam family: Bacterial small subunit ribosomal RNA
Source: RNAcentral
UACAGAGGGGGCAAGCGUUAUUCGGAAUUAUUGGGCGUAAAGGGCGCGUAGGCGGCUUUUCAAGUGACGGGUGAAAUCCCUCGGCUUAACCGAGGAACUGCCUGUCAGACUGGAAGGCUUGAGACCGGGAGAGGUGAGUGGAAUUCCCAGUGUAGCGGUGAAAUGCGUAGAUAUUGGGAGGAACACCAGUGGCGAAGGCGGCUCACUGGACCGGUACUGACGCUGAGGUGCGAAAGCGUGGGGAGCAAACAGG